GACGAACGCUGGCGGCGUGCUUAACACAUGCAAGUCGAACGGAAAGGCCCUGCUUUUGUGGGGUGCUCGAGUGGCGAACGGGUGAGUAACACGUGAGUAGCCUGCCCUUGACUUUGGGAUAACUUCAGGAAACUGGGGCUAAUACCGGAUAGGAGCUCCUGCUGCAUGGUGGGGGUUGGAAAGUUUCGGCGGUUGGGGAUGGACUCGCGGCUUAUCAGCUUGUUGGUGGGGUAGUGGCUUACCAAGGCUUUGACGGGUAGCCGGCCUGAGAGGGUGACCGGCCACAUUGGGACUGAGAUACGGCCCAGACUCCUACGGGAGGCAGCAGUGGGGAAUAUUGCACAAUGGGCGGAAGCCUGAUGCAGCAACGCCGCGUGCGGGAUGACGGCCUUCGUGUUGUAAACCGCUUUCGCCUGUGACGAAGCGUGAGUGACGGUAAUGGGUAAAGAAGCACCGGCUAACUACGUG
Molecule: ribosomal RNA, 468 nt
Filed under: uncultured bacterium
Lineage: Bacteria
Description: partial 16S ribosomal RNA
Rfam family: Bacterial small subunit ribosomal RNA
Source: RNAcentral